CCGAGAAACUCGCCCUCAUGGGUAGAUCUCCCACCCUAUGUAUAUUAUACUUUGUUGCUUUGGCAGGCCUGCCUCUGAGCGACUGGCCUUGGGCUAGUUAGUGCCUGCCAGAGAACCAACACCCUGAAUCAUUUAUUGUCCGAGUCAUAUUCAAUUGUUA
This 160-nucleotide unclassified non-coding RNA is filed under the name uncultured Leotiomycetes. RNAcentral's name for it is "sequence contains ITS1". The record is from RNAcentral. Lineage: Eukaryota; Fungi; Ascomycota; Leotiomycetes.